Rhinichthys klamathensis goyatoka is the source of this 247-nucleotide long non-coding RNA. RefSeq lists it as uncharacterized. Lineage: Eukaryota; Metazoa; Chordata; Actinopteri; Cypriniformes; Leuciscidae. The transcript is spliced from 2 exons. The record is from RefSeq and is a predicted model, not a curated record.
AUUUUAACCCUCAGGUGCUCUUCGGUCAUUUCUGACCGAAAAUAAAUCUGUUUUGAAUAUUUAAAAAUCACAGCUUCAUCAGAAAAUUACGAAACUUGGUGACUUUUAUGGCAAUAGGUAUGUGAACACACAAAAAAAUUGAGGUCAUGAUUCGAGCAGUUUAAGUGGUCAUAAAAAAAUGAGUCACACUUUUGCUCUUCUGUCAAACAUGACCGACCAUAGGAAAUGAAUGGGAAAUUGACAAAAA